AUGGAUAUGUUUCAUAAAGCCUUAGGGGACAUGUUUUCCAAAUUGCCUAUGAAGGUUAGUCGUGUAAGUAAUAAUAUAACUAGUGAUCCGUAUGUCACAAUUUCGUUAUCUGGUGCUGUAAUUGGGAGGACUUUUGUCAUCAAUAAUAGCGAGAAUCCAGUAUGGAUGCAGCAUUUCAAUGUUCCUGUUGCACAUCAUGCUGCAGAGCUGCACUUUGUCGUCAAAGACAAUGAUGUUGUUGGCUCACAGCUUAUAGGUGCUGUGGGAAUCCCAGCAGAGCAGCUGUGUUCUGGCAAGAAAAUUGAGGGCACUUUUCCAAUUCUAGCCGCCAAUGGGAAGCCUUGCAAGCCUGGAGCCGAAUUGAGCUUAUCAAUUCAGUUUACCCCAGUACAGCAAAUGGCAAUUUAUAAGCAUGGAGUAGGUUCAGGUCCUGAUUACAAUGGGGUUCCGGGAACGUACUUUCCUCUUAGAAGAGGAGGCAAAGUUACUCUCUAUCAAGAUGCACAUGUUCAUGAUGGUUGCCUACCUGAUUUGAAGCUUGAUGGUCAUGUUCAGUAUGAGCAUGGGACUUGCUGGCUUGACAUCUUUAAUGCCAUCAGUCAGGCUCGGCGUUUGAUUUACAUUACUGGGUGGUCUGUAUACCACCAGGUUAGAUUGGUUCGAGAUGGUCAUGAUGGAAAGGAUUGUACAUUGGGUGAUCUUCUCAAAAUCAAAUCUCAGGAAGGUGUAAGAGUGCUGCUCCUUGUAUGGGAUGAUCCUACUUCUAGGAGUUUCUUGGGAUAUAAAACGGAGGGCAUCAUGAACACCAGUGAUGAGGAAACUCGCCAUUUUUU
This 833-nucleotide unclassified non-coding RNA is filed under the name Hevea brasiliensis (rubber tree). Lineage: Eukaryota; Viridiplantae; Streptophyta; Magnoliopsida; Malpighiales; Euphorbiaceae. The record is from RNAcentral.